This 774-nucleotide ribosomal RNA is filed under the name uncultured Lentimicrobium sp. RNAcentral's name for it is "bacterial SSU rRNA". It matches the Rfam family "Bacterial small subunit ribosomal RNA", at positions 8 to 777 of the family's 1533-position model. The record is from RNAcentral. Lineage: Bacteria; Pseudomonadati; Bacteroidota; Bacteroidia; Bacteroidales; Lentimicrobiaceae.
AGAGUUUGAUCCUGGCUCAGGAUGAACGCUAGCGGCAGGCUUAAUACAUGCAAGUCGAACGGGAUUCGGGGUAGCAAUACUUUGAUGAGAGUGGCGCACGGGUGCGUAACGCGUAUGCAACCUACCUUUAACAGGGGAAUAGCCCCGAGAAAUCGGGAUUAAUACUCCGUAACAUUGCGGUGUGGCAUCACACUGCAAUUAAAGAUUUAUCGGUUAAAGAUGGGCAUGCGUGACAUUAGCUAGUUGGUGAGGUAACGGCUCACCAAGGCAACGAUGUCUAGGGGUCCUGAGAGGGUUAUCCCCCACACUGGUACUGAGACACGGACCAGACUCCUACGGGAGGCAGCAGUAAGGAAUAUUGGUCAAUGGGCGCAAGCCUGAACCAGCCAUGCCGCGUGCAGGAAGACGGCCCUAUGGGUUGUAAACUGCUUUUAUCAGGGAAUAAACCCCCGCUCGUGAGCGGGGCUGAAGGUACCUGAAGGAUAAGCAUCGGCUAACUCCGUGCCAGCAGCCGCGGUAAUACGGAGGAUGCAAGCGUUAUCCGGAUUCAUUGGGUUUAAAGGGUGCGCAGGCGGAUUGGUAAGUCAGGGGUGAAAUCCCACAGCUCAACUGUGGAACUGCCUUUGAUACUGUCAGUCUAGAGUAUAGUUGAAGUUGGCGGAAUGUGUCAUGUAGCGGUGAAAUGCUUAGAUAUGACACAGAACACCGAUCGCGAAGGCAGCUAGCUAAGCUAUAACUGACGCUCAUGCACGAAAGCGUGGGGAUCAAACAGGA